CGGCAAGACGGAAUUGAGUUUAAAUGAGCGACAGUUUUUGUGAGUUUGUUUGUUUAAAACCCGGAUGUCGUCGUCCCACGGCCUGUUGUCCUUCACACGUGGGUUUCGGGGGUCUCUGUGGACGUUCAAGAAUCCCUGCUGUGUCAGUGGCCGUAGAGGAUUGUGAUUUGUACCUGUUGAGAUCCUCCCUCUGUGUGGGGCUGUGUUACAGGGAGCUCGCUGUGGUUUUCUAAGUAUUGAACAGCCUAUUUUCAACACUCGGGUCACUUCCCAAAACUGAUCUACCUGAGAAGGAAGACCGAGGAGAAGGAAAGCAAAGAGUCAGAAAUGACUCGUUCCCAGAAUCCCUGCUGUGUCAGUGGCCAUAGAGGAUUGUGAUUUGUACCUGCUGAGAUCCUUCCUCUGUGUGGGGCUGUGUUACAGGGAGCUCGCUGUGUUUUUCCAAGCAUUGAACGGCCUGUUUUCUGGGGUCACUUCGCAAGACUGAUCUUACCUUAGAAGGAAGCCCAGAGGAAGAGGAAAGCAAGGAGUCAGAAAUGACUCGUUCCAGGUCUUGUGGUCGCUAAGGUGCAUCUAGUCACUUUUCUGGAUUAAAUGAAGGAUCCCAGGAGUAUAAGGAGAAUGGAGACAAUGGCCAUGUCCCCAGGUACGUGUCAAUGGAUGGAGCCAAUGACUCAGGUGAGAGGUCCAAGCAUCAGCGAGGAAGUCAUUCUUUGUCCUGUGUUUUCGGAAGACCUGCUUCAUUGGAAACGAUUUUGGAGAAGUCUGGAUUUAUUUUUGUUUCUGCCAUAGAUGGCUAUCAUCUGCUGCCUUCUUCCUGUUAACCCAUGAUGAAAUCUUGUCCCUAACCCUAACCUUUCUCUUUCACAGUGAGAACUAAAAUGCUCUUCUUGGCUUGUGACAACCUGCAUGAAUCUGGUUGCUGUUUCAUUUCUUGAGAGUCCUAAUAAAACUGUGCGCAUUUCUGAGUAACUAUGA
This is a long non-coding RNA of Cervus elaphus (red deer), 978 nucleotides long. RefSeq lists it as uncharacterized. NCBI's taxonomy places the organism in Eukaryota, Metazoa, Chordata, Mammalia, Artiodactyla, Cervidae. The record is from RefSeq and is a predicted model, not a curated record. The transcript is spliced from 4 exons.